GUCCACGCCGUAAACGAUGUACACUGGACCGGUGCGAUUUUGACGUUGUAUCGGUCGUAGUAAAACGAUAAGUGUACCGCCUGGGGAGUACGGUCGCAAGGCUAAAACUCAAAUGAAUUGACGGGGGCUCACACAAGCGGUGGAGCAUGUUGCUUAAUUCGAGGCAACGCGAAGAACCUUACCUACCCUUGACAUGCCAGGAAUCCUGCAGAGAUGUGGGAGUGCUCGAAAGAGAACCUGGGCACAGGUGCUGCAUGGCCGUCGU
RNAcentral lists this ribosomal RNA (265 nucleotides) under uncultured bacterium. RNAcentral's name for it is "partial 16S ribosomal RNA". It matches the Rfam family "Bacterial small subunit ribosomal RNA", at positions 793 to 1055 of the family's 1533-position model. The record is from RNAcentral.